This 67-nucleotide transfer RNA is filed under the name Auplopus sp. SJW-2017. RNAcentral's name for it is "tRNA-Met". The record is from RNAcentral. Lineage: Eukaryota; Metazoa; Arthropoda; Insecta; Hymenoptera; Pompilidae.
AUAUAGAUAAACUAAAUUUAAGUUAUAAGGUUCAUACCCUUAUUAUAGAUUUUAAAUCUUCUAUGUA